RNAcentral lists this long non-coding RNA (529 nucleotides) under Nicotiana tabacum (common tobacco). Its description in RNAcentral is "long non-coding RNA (NTAB_LNC018487)". The record is from RNAcentral. Lineage: Eukaryota; Viridiplantae; Streptophyta; Magnoliopsida; Solanales; Solanaceae.
UAAAAAUGGCUUAAAAGAGGUAAAGAGAAAUAAGAGAACCGAAAUUAAGCAAAAUGAAUGCAGACGCAAUGAAUAAUUGAGCAUGUAAAAAUGGCUUAAAAGAGUUUUUGACACUACUUGAGAAGCAAAAUAUGGAAGGACCAAGGCCGACCAAGCUUCAGGCCAACCUUCACUAUAUAUGCAUUAGCACGUCCAUUUUCUGUUGUACCGACCAAGACAUGAUGGACACCCUUUUGCCUUACACUUCCAACUUCAAAGGUAGAAGCUGUGAAGCCCUCUUCUGAUAGAAUAUCAAGGUAAAGAGAAAUAAGAUACUUGAUCAAAUUGGCAUAUAAUUCAGGUACAAUAAUACCUAAUCACGACUACACGCCCCAAGAAAAUUAAAACACAUAGGAGAUUGGUACAAUGGAACAAAAAAAGUUCUUCCUCCUGCCGAAUAGUUCCAUAGUACUUCACACCUAUUCUAGCCAAAUGUUGAAAUGAGAAAACUCUUGUAGAUGCUCAUGAAUUUGGCCACAAAUGCUGCAAA